UUCCGGUUGAUCCUGCCGGAGGCCACUGCUAUGGGGGUCCGACUAAGCCAUGCGAGUCAUGGGGCGCCUUGUGCGCACCGGCGGACGGCUCAGUAACACGUCGGUAACCUACCCUCGGGAGGGGGAUAACCCCGGGAAACUGGGGCUAAUCCCCCAUAGGCCUGAGGUACUGGAAGGUCCUCAGGCCGAAAGGGGCUCUGCCCGCCCGAGGAUGGGCCGGCGGCCGAUUAGGUAGUUGGUGGGGUAACGGCCCACCAAGCCGAAGAUCGGUACGGGCCAUGAGAGUGGGAGCCCGGAGAUGGACACUGAGACACGGGUCCAGGCCCUACGGGGCGCAGCAGGCGCGAAACCUCCGCAAUGCGGGCAACCGCGACGGGGAGACCCCCAGUGCCGUGGCAUCGCCACGGCUUUUCCGGAGUGUAAAGAGCUCCGGGAAUAAGGGCUGGGCAAGGCCGGUGGCAGCCGCCGCGGUAAUACCGGCGGCCCGAGUGGUGGCCGCUAUUAUUGGGCCUAAAGCGUCCGUAGCCGGGCCCGUAAGUCCCUGGCGAAAUCCCACGGCUCAACCGUGGGGCUUGCUGGGGAUACUGCGGGCCUUGGGACCGGGAGAGGCGGAGGGUACUCCUGGGGUAGGGGUGAAAUCCUAUAAUCCCAGGAGGACCGCCAGUGGCGAAGGCGCUCCGCUGGAACGGGUCCGACGGUGAGGGACGAAGGCCAGGGGAGCGAACCGGAUUAGAUACCCGGGUAGUCCUGGCUGUAAAGGAUGCGGGCUAGGUGUCGGGCGAGCUUCGUGCUCGCCCGGUGCCGAAGGGAAGCCGUUAAGCCCGCCGCCUGGGGAGUACGGCCGCAAGGCUGAAACUUAAAGGAAUUGGCGGGGGAGCACUACAAGGGGUGGAGCGUGCGGUUUAAUUGGAAUCAACGCCGGA
Molecule: ribosomal RNA, 923 nt
Filed under: uncultured archaeon
Lineage: Archaea
Description: bacterial SSU rRNA
Rfam family: Archaeal small subunit ribosomal RNA
Source: RNAcentral